RNAcentral lists this long non-coding RNA (209 nucleotides) under Phoenix dactylifera (date palm). Its description in RNAcentral is "long non-coding RNA (PDAC_LNC001794)". The record is from RNAcentral. Lineage: Eukaryota; Viridiplantae; Streptophyta; Magnoliopsida; Arecales; Arecaceae.
GAUGUUGAUCUGGUCAUUCACAAUUGAUGAACAAUAGGUCUACAUCUAGAUGCUGAGGAGGAUGUGGAUGUUGUUCCUAUAAGAACCAGGCUAGCUGGGCCUAACCUGGACCAAAGUCGGCAGGCCCAGCCGGCUUUAGAGAGAAGAAGAAAAGGAGAAGAACAGGGCACAAUCCCUGUCCGAGCUUCCGAACGACCGAGGCUGGCCUG